This 138-nucleotide ribosomal RNA is filed under the name uncultured Acholeplasma sp. RNAcentral's name for it is "partial 16S ribosomal RNA". It matches the Rfam family "Bacterial small subunit ribosomal RNA", at positions 355 to 507 of the family's 1533-position model. The record is from RNAcentral. Lineage: Bacteria; Bacillati; Mycoplasmatota; Mollicutes; Acholeplasmatales; Acholeplasmataceae.
UGGGGAAUAUUGGGCAAUGGAGGCAACUCUGACCCAGCAACGCCGCGUGAAUGAAGAAGGUCUUCGGAUUGUAAAGUUCUUUAAUUGGUGACGAACAAAAUGACGGUAGCCAAAGAAUAAGCCACGACUAACUACGUG